Molecule: long non-coding RNA, 1261 nt
Organism: Fukomys damarensis (Damara mole-rat)
Lineage: Eukaryota; Metazoa; Chordata; Mammalia; Rodentia; Bathyergidae
Exons: 4
Source: RefSeq, a predicted model, not a curated record
UGAAGUAUUUUUAGUCUCUUUGAGAGAAUUCUAAAUGGGAUUCAUAAUGUCCUGGAUUCCUUUCUUCGGGAUUAAGAGACUGUUUAUGACCUAACUUGAACAAUGAGAUGUAAUUCUUCUUUAGCUCAAGCUGUUAUGAAGCCAGAAAUAGAUCUGGACUAAGUAAGAUUGGACUUCGUGGCAAAAAUUGUGACUUAGGAGAUAAACGAAUGAAUGACUAAUAAGGAUUAGCCAUGUGAAAAGAUGCUCAACAUUGUUAAUAGAGAAUUGCAAGUGAAGAAUCACAGUGAGAAAACAUAUCCUUUCCACAAGGAUGGCUGUAACAUCAGAUAACAGGUAUUGAUAGAGAUAAGGAGAAAUCCGAAACUUACAAACUGCUGGUGUAUCCAUUUGGAAAAACACACCGCUCCUUAAAUUGUUAAAUAAAAAGUUAUUGUAUUGACUGGCAGUUUUUUUCCCUUGGUGUCUACUUUAGAGAAGUGAAAACAACUCAGUUCACACAAAAACUUGUACAUUAGUACAUGAGCAUUGUCUGUAGUAGCCAAAAGAUGAAGAUAAUACAACUGUUUGCCAGCUAAUGGAUAAAGAAUAUCUGGUUUAUUAACACAGGAGCAAGGUAUUGACACAUAGUGCAACAUAAAAAGUCACAGAGGAUCACAUAUCCUUGCAUUUACAUCAAAUAUCCAGAAUAGGGAGCUUUAUAAAGGUAGAAGGUAGAUUAGUGAGUGCUUAGGUGUGUGAAGGAGGGGGAGGUAGGGGGACAGUUAAUGAGUAUAGUAUUUAAAGUUUAGUACAGUAAAAGACACAUUUCCAUUAAUCCCCUGGCAGUACUCCCUGUUGCUCAAAUACACUUAUCCUAUUGUUCCUGCCAUGUUCUGAAACAGUUCUAGAAGUUCUCUUUCAUAGGUGUCUUCACAAGGUGUGUUAAAAAAUGUGAAUGUUUGCUGUGGAUUUAACUCAGUGGUUGCAUUGCUUGCCUUGCAAGCGCAAGGACACAAGUUCGAUCCCCAUGCCCUCCCCGCCAAAAAAGUGAAUGCUACUGCCAAGGACCAUCCAAUGGAAAGGCAGGCCGAAGACAUUACUGUGUGUCCUCAUCCACCUUGUUCACCAGAUUUGGCAUCAUGUGACUUCUGGCUUUGCCUGAAAAUCAGAAUGACCACUAAGAAUGUGUGCUGGUAGUUGUGAGCAGAGCGGCCUUCCCAGCAGUUGCCAGUGAGUGUUUCAGAAGUGCUCAGGUAGGCAGUUUACUUCCUCCACAGGU